This 699-nucleotide ribosomal RNA is filed under the name uncultured Campylobacter sp. RNAcentral describes it as "bacterial SSU rRNA". It matches the Rfam family "Bacterial small subunit ribosomal RNA", at positions 62 to 779 of the family's 1533-position model. Lineage: Bacteria; Pseudomonadati; Campylobacterota; Epsilonproteobacteria; Campylobacterales; Campylobacteraceae. The record is from RNAcentral.
UCGAACGGAGAUUAAGUAGCUUGCUAUUAAUCUUAGUGGCGCACGGGUGAGUAAUAUAUAGCUAACUUGCCCAUUACUAAGGGACAACAGUUGGAAACGACUGCUAAUACCUUAUACUCCGUAUCUAUAUAAGUAGAUACGGGAAAGUUUUUCGGUAAUGGAUAGGGCUAUAUCGUAUCAGCUAGUUAGUAAGGUAAUGGCUUACCAAGGCUAUGACGCGUAACUGGUCUGAGAGGACGAUCAGUCACACUGGAACUGGGACACGGUCCAGACUCCUACGGGAGGCAGCAGUAGGGAAUAUUGCUCAAUGGGGGAAACCCUGAAGCAGCAACGCCGCGUGGAGGAUGACACUUUUCGGAGCGUAAACUCCUUUUCUUGGUAAAGAAUUAUGACGGUACCCAAGGAAUAAGCACCGGCUAAUUCCGUGCCAGCAGCCGCGGUAAUACGGAGGGUGCAAGCGUUACUCGGAAUCACUGGGCGUAAAGGACGAGUAGGCGGAUUAUCAAGUCUCUUGUGAAAUGUAACGGCUUAACCGUUAACCUGCUUGGGAAACUGAUAAUGUAGAGUAAGGGAGAGGCAGACGGAAUUCUUGGUGUAGGGGUAAAAUCCGUAGAGAUCAAGAAGAAUACCCAUUGCGAAAGCGAUCUGCUGGAACUUACCUGACGGUAGUGCGUGAAAGCGUGGGGAGCAAACAGGAUU